GAUGAACGCUAGCGGCAGGCCUAAUACAUGCAAGUCGAACGAGAUUAAGAGGCUUGCUUCUUAUGAAAGUGGCGCACGGGUGCGUAACGCGUAUGCAACCUACCUUAAUCAGGGGGAUAGCCCGAAGAAAUUCGGAUUAAGACCGCAUAAAAACACAGGAUAGCAUUAUCCAAUGUUCAAAUAUUUAUAGGAUUAAGAUGGGCAUGCGUGUCAUUAGCUAGUUGGCGGGGUAACGGCCCACCAAGGCGACGAUGACUAGGGGAUCUGAGAGGAUGACCCCCCACACUGGUACUGAGACACGGACCAGACUCCUACGGGAGGCAGCAGUAAGGAAGAUUGAUCAAUGGAGGGAACUCUGAACCAGCCAUGCCGCGUGCAGGAAGACAGCCCUCUGGGUCGUAAACUGCUUUUAGUCGGGAAUAAACCUUUCUACGUGUAGGAAGCUGAAUGUACCGAAGGAAUAAGGAUCGGCUAACUCCGUG
This 482-nucleotide ribosomal RNA is filed under the name uncultured bacterium. RNAcentral describes it as "partial 16S ribosomal RNA". It matches the Rfam family "Bacterial small subunit ribosomal RNA", at positions 28 to 507 of the family's 1533-position model. The record is from RNAcentral.